GAUGAAGAACGUAGCGAAAUGCGAUACUUGGUGUGAAUUGCAGAAUCCCGUGAACCAUCGAGUCUUUGAACGCAAGUUGCGCCCGAAGCCGUCAGGCCGAGGGCACGCCUGCCUGGGCGUCACACGCCGUUGCCCCCCCGCGCCCCGCGCCCAACGCUUUGGGAGCGACCGCGGGGCGGGCUGAUGAUGGCCUCCCGUGCGCUCCGCCGCGCGGUUGGCCCAAAUACCGAGUCCCCGGCGACGUGCGCCACGACGAUCGGUGGUUGAGAGACCUCUGUCGCAAGUCGUGCGCGCCCGUCGCGUCACGCGGGCUCGCAUAGCGCCUCGCGCCGCACCCGGUGCGGAGCUUUCAACGCGACCCCAGGUCAGGCGGGGUUACCCGCUGAAUUUAAGCAUAUCAAUAAGCGGAGGA
This 412-nucleotide unclassified non-coding RNA is filed under the name soil metagenome. RNAcentral's name for it is "partial contains 5.8S ribosomal RNA, internal transcribed spacer 2, and large subunit ribosomal RNA". The stretch from base 1 to 122 matches the Rfam family "5.8S ribosomal RNA", at positions 35 to 154 of the family's 154-position model. The record is from RNAcentral.